CUCCCAAUUAAUAAUUCUACCAAAAGUCCAAAGUUCGAGCCCAACUCUCAAGACCCAAGCUUUAAACCUAAAAACCCCAACAACCUAACACUAUUUUUUUUCCUUUUCAGAAUUCCAAUCUCCUUAGCUUCACCUUCACGCCUUCCACUGCGUUGCGUUGGUUGAUCUGCUCAGUUCACGUUCUCCUGUGCAACUGCGCCUCUGCCUCUUAGACUCAGUUCACGCCAUCCUUUACGCUGACCGAUCUGCUCAAGCCUCAAGACGUUGACUCCUCCCCAUUUCCGUCAACUUUGUUUUGCCUGAUCUACUCAAGCUUCAAGUCGGUUCUGUCUGUUGACUCCGUUCAAGAUGUUCCCGUCAUGUCGACGUCAGUUCAAGUCGAUUCUAAUCGUUCAUGUUGAACCUGUUCACGUCUGUUCAAGUCGGGUCUGCCGUUCAAUGAAAUUGCAAGUCAUAUUAACCAUCCCGUUAUCUACUGGAUCUUUGAUGUGCACUGACAAUAGAAUCUUUGAUGUGCACUCAAAAUUGAAUUGCAACUGAAAUUUUGACAGGUACUAGCACGGAAAAGAAAUGGCUAAACAUUUAGCAACUGUUUUAGAAAGAUGCAGACGAUUCUGAUGCAGAUGGAGUGGUAACUGAGGAUGGGGUGAUACCAAGAAAGGAGAAAAUUUUGAAUGUAAAGUCAUCAAUGAAGAGAGAAAGACGAGCAAUUUAUGAUUAUGGUUGUUGUAUUUGUAAUUGUAUAAGACAUUGCCUUAAAUUGACUUCCAACUUUUAGUCGAACUUUAUUUAAUUUAAAUUGUAAACUUAUUUAAUGGAUUUGUAAGGUUCUAAAUUGUGUUUAUUUCA
Molecule: non-coding RNA, 849 nt
Organism: Benincasa hispida (wax gourd)
Lineage: Eukaryota; Viridiplantae; Streptophyta; Magnoliopsida; Cucurbitales; Cucurbitaceae
Source: RefSeq, a predicted model, not a curated record